GGCUACCAUGCAAGUCGAACGAGAACGGGCCUAGCUUGCUAGGCUGUCAGCUAAGUGGCGCCCGGGUGAGUAAUGUAUAGUUGAUCUGCCCCUUGGAGGGGGAUCNCCAUUGGAAACGAUGAUUAAUACCCCAUACUCCUAUAUGCGUAAGGUAUAUAGGGAAAUGUCUUUUCGCCAAGGGAUGAGACUAUAUGGCAUCAGGUAGUUGGUGGGGUAAUGGCCUACCAAGCCAAUGACGCCUAGCUGGUCUGAGAGGAUGAUCAGCCACACUGGUACUGAGACACGGACCAGACUCCUACGGGAGGCAGCAGUGGGGAAUAUUGCACAAUGGGGGAAACCCUGAUGCAGCAACGCCGCGUGGAGGAUGACGCAUUUCGGUGUGUAAACUCCUUUUAUUAGGGAAGAUAAUGACGGUACCUAAUGAAUAAGCACCGGCUAACUCCGUGCCAGCAGCCGCGGUAAUACGGAGGGUGCAAGCGUUACUCGGAAUCACUGGGCGUAAAGCGCGCGCAGGCGGUUUGAUAAGUUGGAUGUGAAAUCCUAUGGCUCAACCAUAGAACUGCAUCCAAAACUGUCAAACUAGAGUCUGGGAGAGGAAGAUGGAAUUAGUUGUGUAGGGGUAAAAUCCGUAGAGAUAACUAGGAAUACCAAAAGCGAAGGCGAUCUUCUGGAACAGUACUGACGCUGAGGCGCGAAAGCGUGGGGAGCAAAACAGGAUUAGAUACCCUGGUAGUCCACGCCCUAAACGAUGAAUGUUAGUCGUUGGAAGGCUAGUCCUUUCAGUGAUGCAGCUAACGCAUUAAACAUUCCGCCUGGGGAAGUACGGUCGCAAGAUUAAAACUCAAAAGGAAUAGACGGGGGACCCCGCACAAGUGGUGGGAGCAUGUGGGUUUAAUUUCGA
This 901-nucleotide ribosomal RNA is filed under the name uncultured Campylobacterota bacterium. Its description in RNAcentral is "bacterial SSU rRNA". It matches the Rfam family "Bacterial small subunit ribosomal RNA", at positions 46 to 954 of the family's 1533-position model. Lineage: Bacteria; Pseudomonadati; Campylobacterota. The record is from RNAcentral.